UAAAUUUUUAUAGUUUAAAAAAUUUAUUUAAAAUUUAUUUUACAUAUAAAUUUUAGUAAUAAUUUAAUUAUUUUAAUAAUAAUUAAUUUAUUUAAGUAGUAAUUAAUAUUAAAAAUUUAAGAAAUUAAGAUUUAGUAAUAUAAAAAUUAAUAACAAAUUUUGUGCCAGCAGUUGCGGUUACACAAAAAUUAAAAUAAAUUUUUUUAGUAAUUAAUAAAUAAUUUAAAUAAAAUAAUUUAAAUUUUAAUUUAUUAGGUGAAAUUUUAAUUUAAUUAAAAAUUAUUAUUAUGAUAUUAAUAAAUUUUAUUUAUAAACUAGGAUUAGAUACCCUAUUAUUAAAAAAUUAAGUGUAUAAUACUAAAAUAUUAGAUUUUUAUUGAAACUUAAAUAAUUUGGCGGUAUUUUAGUUCAUUUAGAGGAAUCUGUCUAAUAAUUGAUAAUCCACGAAUUAAUUUACUUAAUUUAAUAUUUUGUAUAUCGUUGUUAAAAAAAUAUUUUUUUAUAAUAAAUAAUAUUUUAAAAUUUAAAAUUUAAAAUUAAAUCAAAUCAAGAUGCAGAUUAUAAUUAAGAAUAUGAUGGAUUACAAUAAAUUUAUUUAAGUGGAAAUUAAUAUGUAAUAUUUAAUUGAAAAUGGAUUUAAAUGUAAUUUUUAUUUAAUUUAAUAAAAUGAUUAAUAAUUAAAAUAUGUACAUAUUGCCCGUCGCUUUCAUUUAAAAAUUGAAAUAAGUCGUAACAAAGUAGAGGUACUGGAAAGUGUUUCUAGAAAGAA
RNAcentral lists this non-coding RNA (769 nucleotides) under Amesia sanguiflua. The record is from RNAcentral. Lineage: Eukaryota; Metazoa; Arthropoda; Insecta; Lepidoptera; Zygaenidae.